RNAcentral lists this ribosomal RNA (424 nucleotides) under uncultured bacterium. RNAcentral describes it as "partial 16S ribosomal RNA". It matches the Rfam family "Bacterial small subunit ribosomal RNA", at positions 354 to 796 of the family's 1533-position model. The record is from RNAcentral.
GUGGGGAAUAUUGGACAAUGGGCGCAAGCCUGAUCCAGCAAUGCCGCGUGGGUGAAGAAGGUCUUCGGAUCGUAAAGCCCUUUCGACAGGGACGAUGAUGACGGUACCUGUAGAAGAAGCCCCGGCUAACUUCGUGCCAGCAGCCGCGGUAAUACGAAGGGGGCUAGCGUUACUCGGAAUUACUGGGCGUAAAGGGCGCGUAGGCGGCUCUGUUAGUCAGGCGUGAAAUUCCUGGGCUUAACCUGGGGACUGCGCUUGAUACUGCAGGGCUUGAGGCCGAGAGAGGGUGGUGGAAUUCCCAGUGUAGAGGUGAAAUUCGUAGAUAUUGGGAAGAACACCGGUGGCGAAGGCGACCACCUGGCUCGGUUCUGACGCUGAGGCGCGACAGCGUGGGGAGCAAACAGGAUUAGAAACCCGUUAGUCC